Molecule: ribosomal RNA, 427 nt
Filed under: uncultured bacterium
Lineage: Bacteria
Description: bacterial SSU rRNA
Rfam family: Bacterial small subunit ribosomal RNA
Source: RNAcentral
UCGAGAAUUUCUCACAAUGGGCGCAAGCCUGAUGGAGCGACGCCGCGUGGGGGAUGAAGGGUUUCGAUCCGUAAACCCCUGUCAUUUGCGAACAAACCUUGACUGUGAAUAGCGAUCGAGCUGAUUGUAGCGGAAGAGGAAGGGACGGCUAACUCUGUGCCAGCAGCCGCGGUAAUACAGAGGUCCCAAGCGUUGUUCGGAUUCACUGGGCGUAAAGGGUGCGUAGGUGGUCGGUGAAGUUCGGUGUGGAAGCUCGGAGCUCAACUCCGAAACGGCAUUGAAAACUCAUCGACUGGAGGGUCGGAGGGGAGACUGGAGUUCUCGGUGUAGCAGUGAAAUGCGUAGAUAUCGAGAGGAACACCAGCGGCGAAGGCGAGUCUCUGGACGACUCCUGACACUGAGGCACGAAAGCCAGGGGAGCAAACAG